AUCUUUGCGCAGCGGCAGUAUCGUAGCCUAUGAGGUUUAUCUGAGGCGUGAUUAUUGCUAGUUGAAAACUUUACCCAAUACCCUGCUGUUGCAACUUGAGAUAUAGUUGGCACUGGCAAUUUUUGGUGGUCUUCCAGGAGG
Molecule: small nuclear RNA, 141 nt
Gene: U4
Rfam family: U4 spliceosomal RNA
About the family: U4 small nuclear RNA (U4 snRNA) is a component of the major U2-dependent spliceosome.
Source: Ensembl